UACGUAGGGUGCAAGCGUUGUCCGGAAUUAUUGGGCGUAAAGAGCGUGUAGGCGGCCUUACAGGUCAGCUGUGAAAACUCGAGGCUCAACCUCGGGACGUCGGUUGAAACCGUAAGGCUAGAGUCCGGAAGAGGAGAGUGGAAUUCCCGGUGUAGCGGUGAAAUGCGCAGAUAUCGGGAAGAACACCCGUGGCGAAGGCGGCUCUCUGGGACGGUACUGACGCUGAGACGCGAAAGCGUGGGGAGCGAACAGG
Molecule: ribosomal RNA, 253 nt
Filed under: uncultured bacterium
Lineage: Bacteria
Description: partial 16S ribosomal RNA
Rfam family: Bacterial small subunit ribosomal RNA
Source: RNAcentral